RNAcentral lists this ribosomal RNA (467 nucleotides) under uncultured beta proteobacterium. RNAcentral describes it as "bacterial SSU rRNA". It matches the Rfam family "Bacterial small subunit ribosomal RNA", at positions 336 to 795 of the family's 1533-position model. The record is from RNAcentral. Lineage: Bacteria; Pseudomonadati; Pseudomonadota; Betaproteobacteria.
UUCCUACGGGAGGCUGCAGUGGGGAAUUUUGGACAAUGGGGGCAACCCUGAUCCAGCCAUGCCGCGUGUGUGAAGAAGGCCUUCGGGUUGUAAAGCACUUUCGGACGGAACGAAAUCGCGCGGGUGAAUAUCCCGCGUGGAUGACGGUACUGUAAGAAGAAGCACCGGCUAACUACGUGCCAGCAGCCGCGGUAAUACGUAGGGUGCGAGCGUUAAUCGGAAUUACUGGGCGUAAAGCGUGCGCAGGCGGCUUCGCAAGUCAGACGUGAAAUCCCCGGGCUUAACCUGGGAAUGGCGUUUGAAACUACGGAGCUGGAGUGUGGCAGAGGGAGGUAGAAUUCCACGUGUAGCGGUGAAAUGCGUAGAUAUGUGGAGGAAUACCGAUGGCGAAGGCAGCCUCCUGGGCCAACACUGACGCUCAUGCACGAAAGCGUGGGGAGCAAACAGGAUUAGAUACCCUAGUAGUC